GUUUCUGUGGUUUAAUGGUCAGUCUCUGGAGUCGGAAUCCAGUGCUCCGAGUUCAAGUCUCGGUAGAACCU
Dallia pectoralis (Alaska blackfish) is the source of this 71-nucleotide non-coding RNA. The record is from the annotation of a GenBank genome assembly. Lineage: Eukaryota; Metazoa; Chordata; Actinopteri; Esociformes; Umbridae.